Chelonia mydas (Green sea turtle) is the source of this 484-nucleotide non-coding RNA. Lineage: Eukaryota; Metazoa; Chordata; Testudines; Cheloniidae. The record is from the annotation of a RefSeq genome assembly.
AUAAAAGUGUCAUUUGCUAGACUUGCUAUAUUAGAUUCUCACCAUCUGUCAGACUAGAGGGACCAAAAUGAUUUCACAGACUCAUCUCAUCUGUCUCCUAGUGCUCUGGAUUCAGGAUGCCAGUGGGCAGAUUGUGAUGACUCAGACUCCAGAAUCCGUGGCAGUGUCUCCAGGAGACAGAGUCACCAUCAACUGCAAAGCCAGUUCCAGUGUUAGUAGCUCCAUGUCCUGGUACCAACAGAAAUCAGGACAAGCUCCUAAGCUCCUUAUCUACAGCGCUUCCACCCGUCCCUCUGGUGUUCCAGACCGGUUCAGUGGCAGCGGGUCUGGCACUGACUUCACUUUCACAAUCAGCCGGGUAGAAGCUGAUGAUGCUGGAGAUUAUUAUUGUCUACAAGGCUAUAGUUUACCUCUCACAGUGAUACAGACCAAUACAAAAACCUCCCUGCUUUCUUCAAUUUCUGUUCCUUACUGUAACUGCUGA